CCUACGGGAGGCAGCAGUGGGGAAUAUUGGGCAAUGGAGGAAACUCUGACCCAGCGACGCCGCGUGCGGGAUGAAGGCCUUCGGGCUGUAAACCGCUUUCAGCAGGGAAGAAGCGAAAGUGACGGUACCUGCAGAAGAAGCACCGGCUAACUAUGUGCCAGCAGCCGCGGUAAUACAUAGGGUGCAAGCGUUGUCCGGAAUUAUUGGGCGUAAAGAGCUCGUAGGUGGUUCGUCACGUCGGAUGUGAAAAUCUGGGGCUUAACCCCAGACCUGCAUUCGAUACGGGCGAGCUUGAGUAUGGUAGGGGAGUCUGGAAUUCCUGGUGUAGCGGUGGAAUGCGCAGAUAUCAGGAGGAACACCAAUGGCGAAGGCAGGACUCUGGGCCAUUACUGACACUGAGGAGCGAAAGCGUGGGGAGCGAACAGGAUUAGAUACCCUGGUAGUCCACGACCGUAACGGUACGGCGACUAGUUGUGGGUACCGUUCCGUACGGUCGUCUGCGACGCGAGCUACGACAUAAGUCGCCCGCCGUCGGGAGGUACGAGCGCGAGUAAGUUAAACGUUAAAGUUAAGUUAGUAGUUACGUUGUGAGNGCGACGACGACGACGAGGAGGAGG
RNAcentral lists this ribosomal RNA (617 nucleotides) under uncultured bacterium. RNAcentral describes it as "bacterial SSU rRNA". The stretch from base 1 to 530 matches the Rfam family "Bacterial small subunit ribosomal RNA", at positions 338 to 873 of the family's 1533-position model. The record is from RNAcentral.